Molecule: long non-coding RNA, 345 nt
Filed under: Musa acuminata (dwarf banana)
Lineage: Eukaryota; Viridiplantae; Streptophyta; Magnoliopsida; Zingiberales; Musaceae
Description: long non-coding RNA (MACU_LNC006389)
Source: RNAcentral
GAGCAAAUGGGUGAGGCAGACACAUAGAACAAGUGGCACCAACAAGCCCCAGUUCUAAGGUACAAAUCCAUCUCACAUAGCCCUGUUUGACCUUUCAAAUUGCAGUUCUUUGAUGCUGUGAUGAAGAUGACUAUCUUGUUCAGAUGGCAAUGGAAAAUGCAAUAGCAGAGGGUGCAUGAAUUUGGACAGAAAGAAUGAAUGGCUUGUCCUCCCAGAACCCAAAACCAAAAAGAAUAACAUAAAAUCCAUAAAUACCCACCCACAACAGUGUUUGCAUCAAGCAAUUCCAACCAGGAGAAGCAUCAGCACCAGUAACUCGGAGGUUCGAUAUGUAGCUGAAGCAGA